GAAGCCACUUUGUUUGUGUGCUUUACUCCAGGCCAGGUUUGAUAAGGCUGCUGUGAGGCUGUGCUGACUCACUAUGAGCUAAGGUAAAAACAGGCACUGACAUGGUACUGUAAACACACACCACUCAACAACAGGGACUGUGGAGUAAAAUCCAUGUUUUGGGGGUUCCCCCCCACCACCUUAAACUUCACCUAUCACCACAGCAAUCACAAAACCCUCCUGAGCACUAUGAGCUUUAACACAGCUGAGCACUCCAAAGGAUUUCAUGGAAGUUAUUUGGUGAAGAAGUGACAGAAGGCAACACCAGGUACUCCAGAGAUCACCUUUUAGUGUUUUUCUAACACAACAGGACAGCAAUGAGCACCAAAACUGUGACCAGUGUGCAACACCUCUGCAUAAGCAAGGGUCAUGCAUUACAUUAUUCACAGGGGUAAUCCUAUAGAAUUAAGCCACAAGUACUCUCUCAGAAGAUGGAAUUUUGAAGCAGAUGGCCAGGACAGGAUCUGUGUGCUGCUUGUUCCUGGAAACAAGAGGUGCCACAUGGUGCUCUGGGAUAGAAGUUUUUAACCAUGGAAGAUACAAAACCAGGAAUGUCUUAGACAAGACUGGGGGGAAGGAUCUUAGUGUGCCAUCAUCUGUAAGUGGGCACCAGUGAGAAACCACCAGUAGCUCAGGAGAAGGCCAAGAAGCCAAGUUUUAGGUAGGUGGGAUGCAGGACACCACUGUUCCUCCCAGGUUACAGCCAAGAACCACCUGCUCACAGGGUGAGCAAUUGCUCCCCUGUCCCCAGCAGCUGUAUUUGGAUCCCCUCCCAAAUAUAUCCCCAGAGGACCACAACCUUUUGCUGUCACACAGACGUGCUGGAGCCUGGCAACAAGGACAGGCACUGUGACAUGGGCAUGGAGAAGCAGUGCCAUCCACAGGGAGGACACCAAGAGGAUACAUGUGCCCCUCUGAAGCCAAUUCUUUCCAAGUUCUUCCCUCUACACCAGCUGGGUGCCCCACCACUCUCAAAAACUGCCCAAAACUGAAGGCAACACCACUGGAAAUGCCAAAAUGCAUCACAACUACCCAAGACACUUGCACAAGGCUGACUCACUUCUUCCAAGGGACUCAGAUCCUGUUGAAAGUUAUCUACAUAAGGCUUUGGAUCUGAAAAGACUCCCAACAUCUGGAAAAAGUUCUCAGUCUAAAAACAAGGAAAAGAUUUGAUGCCAGCAGUUGUAUUUGAGUGUUGUGUGGUUCAAACACUCACCACAGUGAGCUCCUCCAAAUACCAGCAGUUAUGACUCUGUAUUGCCACACCACACAAACAAGAGCAUCUGCAGUUAUAGGGGCACUUCAAAUUCUGAAAAGCCACCGACUUGUGAAGUACAAACUCACAUGUGAAACUCGGCUACUGAGUUUGCUUCCCACAGCAGUUUCCAGAGCAUUUACUUACACAGUGUUUUCAUCACAGCUCAAGAUCAAAAGCUAAAAGCAAGUAAGGAAUCCUAUAAAGGCCGAACUCAGUGUUCCCAAUGUUCCUAACCCCAGUCACCUGGGAUGGUGAAGAUACUGCAAUAUCAUCAGCAUUUCCCUUCACAAAUUAUUCUUCUUUUUUCUCCAGCUGACUCCCUUGUCACCUUGGAGCCUCCUGCACCAACAUCCCACACAAACCCUUCAGCCCUCUCCCAAACAUCAGGGAUCUGUAUUCCAGGCAGAGCUCAAAUGCACCAUUUGGCAUUACCAAGAGCUCCAAACCCUCCCAGGUGUUUUACAACAAACGAGGCUGCGAUUUCCUUGCAGCUACUGAGUGACUUCUUGAAAUUCAGCAGCAUGAUGUGCUUGCAUCCACCCAACAGCCUCCAAACACUCUUCAUGGCUGUCAGUGAUCCAGGCACCAAGAGAAAACAUCACCUCAAUACUCAGAUUCUUCUAAUUCCAAAGCACCAGAAGUCAGGAGGACUGGGAUCAUGACCCUCAACAGGUUCUUUUCCCAGCGACCAACUUUCCCAAGCAGAGAAACGAGCAGUUACGUUCUCCAGGAAGAAAAGGCUCCUACAGAUAAAUUCUGUACAAAAACCUUGACUCACUGUUAUAACACGAGCUCAGCGUGGGGAUCAACCACCCCUUCCUUCACCCAUCACACCUGACACCACCAGCAGAGCCACGUUCUUGUUUGUCUCGUUCAGGGAGUAAAGAAGAGAGAUUAGUUUCAAAAUAGAAAACUGAAAACAAUUCAACAGGUGCCAAGGACACCUGAAUGAACACAGGGCUGCCCCAUACUCCCAAAGAGCAUCAGAGGUCUGGGGUUUAUUUCCUAUUAGCACUCUAACUCUAAAACUAAGGGAUCAGAGCUUGGGACAAGUGUAAAAGGGGAAGAAGUUGCGUUUUCAUUUUUCAUGAUGCUCUAUCACCCAGAAAUAGGGCUUGUUUUGCAUCAACUGCAGUCUCAAUUCUGACUUCUCCGUGGCACACUGGCUUCCAAUUUACAGUAGAAACAACCCUUCUACUUUGCAUAGCAAGAAUGGUCCCGCUCACUGAAAUUAAACCCACAGGGAAUAGCAACAACUGUAUUUACUAUUUAGCUUUAGCUUUUCGGAAACAAAUAUUUUAAGUAGCUAAAAACUGAGUGUUUUCAGUUUCACAUUGAAAACAUCCCCAUUCACACCAGUCCCCAUCUGAACCCCAGUGCCCCUGAGAGAAGGCUGCCUUGGUGUGACUUUUGGAAAAUUACGUUGAGACAAAAGCAAACAGCAUCAAAUGUUUUCACACGUGGCCAACCAUGAGAUUUACAUUUGGCCAAACAGAAACCUAAAGCACUUAGCAAAUGGGUCAUUUGAGUACAAAGCUGAAAUUCCUCUGGAGACUUAACGAGACUUUUCUACCUGGUAAAGCUAAAAUUUAAAAUAAUACUAAAAAAAAAAAAAAUUCUGUUAUACUCAGAACUACAUGCCUUGGCAGCCAGGGAACAAACAACAUGUCACUUCCAAAAGCUUUGCAGUGAUUCCUUAUGCCAGAUUCCAGGAAUGCUUUGUCACAACGAAGUUUAUUCCAUUCCUUGGAAAUAUUAAAUGCAUUCCUACUUAUAAUGAAACACCUUAUAAACGCCACGUGACAGAAACAUGGAGUUUGACAAAGCAUUUCCUUCCAGCAUCAUAACAUUUAGGGCCCUGGCAUGAUUUUUACUAUCAAAUAAGUAACCAAGGGAGGUUUGCUGGGAGCAGACCCGGAUGGGAGCAGCAUCAGCCUCGAGUGCUUCCGCCCACAGACUCCCACCUAAGGCUGUCAGGCAGCUCCGAGCACUCCGAGUUUCCAAGAUGUCAUCUGGAACAUCAAAUGCAGUUCUAAGCACGACCCUGUACAACAGCAGCAAUUCCUGCUGCUCACUAGCAAGUCAUCCCUGUUUCGGACAACAUUUUUGGAAUGUGCUGCCCACAGUACAUUGAAUUUCCUAAGUUAUGCCUGGAAAUCAGGAUGUUUUGUCCCAGUAAGUGGACGCUGUUUAAUAAGACCCCUUCUGCAACAAUGGGUUUGCACUCGCUGUGACAGAGCUCCAUUUAACCAGGGCUGGGGAAUUCUGGGGGAUAUCUGCACUGCCUCAACUCUGCUGGCCUCUGGAAAAAGCCAUUCCUCAACAAACAUGGCUUUGUAACUUUGGAGAGGCCUGGGUUUGGGCUUAUUUUAAUGGCACAGCUUUUACCCAGUAAGGACCUGACCUUCACCAUGUAAAUGAGAAACCUGUAUUUGCUGCAAAUGCUCUGAUGUUCCACAUCCCCUGUUCUGCUCCAAGAAACCUUAUUUAAAGCCUUUAGUAAAAAGAAAAGGUAUUUUGGGGCUAGACUAACUUUUGUUGGAUCCAGUGAUGUCACCUGCUUCCAGAUAAAGCCCAGGUUUGAAGCUCACCAUGCCCAUGAUCACAUGGCAGGUCAGGCACAACAGCCAGUCACAUCCAGGAUCCUGAUCCCUGCUGUGAGAUGGGGAAAGGAAACAAGAGUCCCAACUCCCUUUGUGCCACCUCAGAGCUUCGCCCCAGUAUUUUCAAUAUCUCACCAUUACAAAGUCCAAAAAGUAUGACUAUGGUGACACCACGCUGAUGUCACCAGAAUGCUCCAGAAGAAGGUGAGCAAAAAGGGGAAAUGAAUCCAACCUGGAAAUACUGGAAUUGCACAAGCUUGCAACAAGGCAAGGAGAACACUGGGCCAAGCCAGGCUACAGAGGCACAUCAUGUGCUCUACUCAGAGCAGAAAUAAAUAUGCCAUUCUAAACAUUUUUUGAGUUUAUUUUCAGAAAAAUCUAGAGCAAAGAUGGAAAUAGCAAUCUGAUUAAAUUUAAAAAAAAAAAAAAGAAGUUAAGAGUGGCAGCAAAUUAUUUGGACAAAAGUUCAGAGAGGAAGAAUAUGGGCAAGACGUUCAACUGUGGGAAAAUGCCUUUGGGAGGAGGAAGCCUUUUGUUCCACACCACCUCUGUGUCUAGGUUUUUACAGUCCUUUGCUAAGUUAUUCUGCCAGCGGCUGGAAAACCACCAGAAAUCCGCCUGUUUACUCAGACAACUAAAAUCCCAAAUACCCUGGCAAAUGGCUCUCUGCUCUGCCUCAUCAGCCACAGGAUGGAAGGGAUACUCUGAGCUGAGGUUUAAAAGUCUCAGUCAAGUGACAGCACAAGGUUAAGGGGUUAUUCAUACCCCUAUUUUUGCAUUUGGAGAGCGAGGGGAAUUCUUGUUGUUCGACACAUGGAGUCAAAUCAGAUUAGGAGCAUAAGUGCCAAAUACUGUGCAAAAAUCACCAUUAAACACCUGAAACCUUGCUUAUGCUCAGACAAGAAAGAGCAAGCGUAAAAUAUUCUGAAUAUUUGAGACAUUCUGAGACUUGCCCGGUUCACUGCAAGUUCAGUGGUCUUAGGAGGCCAAGUGACAGAGCAGUUUGGUGGUGAGCCCACUCCACACCACAGUGAGAGUCACAGGGUCUGUGACCAGGGAGUUUGCCACAAGUUGGCUCCUACUUCUGCAAAGUCCUCAUCAGAUCAAAUCCCUGUCCUGAAAAAUUCAUGGUUUUCCUUAUACAGCUUGUAUUUGGAAAUGACUAAAUGGAGGGGGAAAUAAAUUUAAUUCAGUCCCUUCAACUACAGCACUGUCAGCUAACAAACUGCCCAAAUGGAGUGUUUUAAUACAGAGUUACACCUGCCAUGGCUCAGACACCCCCUUCCAGAUACUUCAUGACUGCCUGUUCCCUUCUCCCCUUGCUGCAGCUGCAAAACAAAAUCCCAUUUAUACCUUACUCCUGAUCACAGAAAAAUCACUGAUUAGAGAGCACAGGACCUCCAGCUGAAGUUUUCAGGCUCUGCAUUACAUCCUCCCUUGAACAAAUAAGUUCAAAGCACUCAAAAACGUAACCACAACCGUCACCCUCUGCUACCAAGAACCCAACACAGACACACAGGGAUCGAAGCCAUCCAGUACUUGACUGGAACAAGUGAAUCACAGCUCUGCAACCGAGGAUCCGCAGCAGGAUCCCAAGCCAAUGUGACUCCAGAAAAGGUUUACUGAACCAGAAAAGCAGCAGCAGCAAUCCUGGUUGGGCGCCAAACACAAGGAAAUAAACACAAGGGAGCCCUGGAAGAUUUCACCAGCAGCCACACAAGUGGGGAUGAGCAAAUCCUGAGGCACCACCUGAACUCUGGUCACUCAGCUCCAAAACAGCCCAGAAAUCCGAUGGCAGGAAGUUGGCAUUUAACAGCCAUGCACAGCAACCGAGUGUUUUCCUACUCUCUUCUGAUGCAUUCCAGGGCUUAAGUUGAUUUUGGGUCCCAAGUUUCCCCAUGACACUCUGAACAGACUGGCUUAGCCAAACCAGGAGGAACCACUGCAAACGCAGCAGGAGGAGCAGAGCAGCAGCCAGGAGGCUCCGUGGGGGCAGAUCUGCAGGGUCAGGCCUCUCAGGCCACUCCGGGGACAGGAACAAGGGAUCAUUACCUAAAUCAACUUCUCUCCACUAGUUUUGCAAUGCAGAGGUCAAGCACACACAUCAAACAGUUUAAGGGCAGUGUAAAAGGGGGAAACAACUCCCUCAGAUCAGAAAUCAGGACCUUGUCUAAAAAAUUAGUUCACAAAGAGCAGGCAGGUGAGUCCACCAGCUGGGUCUGGAAAAUGCACAAGCAGGAACACUCACAACUCCUCACAGGCAGCAACUUUUCCACCACUUUUCUUAUGCAAAGAUAAUAAGGAGUAUGGCAGAAUCUGUCCAAUACAAUCAGUAUGGGCCACAGUCUUAGUCAUUAAACACAGGCCCACCAUUUUAAUGGCUCUUUCAAAGAGUAAAAACCUGAAGUUCCCAACUGUUUUCAUGUCUGCUUGCCAACUGCUCCCCUCCCUAUACUAGGAUCAAUAACUGGGAGCAAAGAAACAACCCUGCUUAACCAUGAGAUCUUCUUUAACUGCAGGGUAAUCAGCUAAUCCGGGCAGACUCCUUUAUUCAGCUUUACAUGGGCAGCACUAUCAUUAAAGUUAUAAACUUUAAUUUGACUCAAGGAAUGCCAUUUACUAAUUUAGCACGCAAAUGCUUUUACAGUUGUUUGCAUCCAGCUCCACAUAAACUACAGGGGACUUACAGCACACGAAGCAACAUUUUGAAGCUGCUGUUACAGCCACUGUAACACUGUAACAGAGCACAGGACAGUGGGGGGAAAGCAUUCACUGAGGGAACGCUUUUUCGUGUUUAAAGGGAUUUACCAAUACACACAACCAGCAAAACAACUGCUUCCUGGGCACUGGAUCCCUCAAUAUUUAACAUCCACACAUUUUUCACAUUAUUCCUGUUGGCAUGUAGGAGAGUAGCACCUCCUAUUUACUCUGAAUAUUGAGUAAAUGGGAACAAAAGAAAACCCAUCACCUGCAAAAAAGUCAACGGCAUCAGGAACUUGAUGGUGAGCUGGAGCCAAACCUUGCCAUGAGCAUUUAGAAAGGAAUGCCAGAUUUCUUCAGUGCCUUGAAUCUUUUCCCCAAAAGCUCGGGAGCCAACAGAUAAGACUUAGAUACUUUGAUCUAAAGAGGGUAAAUGUUAUUUCGAACUCUAGUUCACUUUUAAAGAGACACGCUUAAAAACUGGAAGUAAAAAAAGUUAUGGUUGUGAAGGGAUUGCUCAUAUCCCUCCUGGUCUGUGCUGGAAAUAAACACAAGGUUCAACUCCUGUGUGUAGGAAGGGGGAAGGGAAACGGCAACAAAACCAGAGCGAAUGGCUCUCCUGGAAUUCCAGGACUUGCCAUCGACUCCGCCGCUUAUCGAAGGAGCUGGAGGGGCUAAAGCCCCCCGACAGCGUGAGGAUGGAGUGGGAGAAAGGCAAAAACACAGAUCACAGCCCCCCCGCUCGCAAUCACACAAAGAAAGAGGAGUCCUUUUAGUGCCAAGGGCCUCGUUCCCGACGCUUCCAUGGCAGGAAGCGAGAUCCUGGCCGGCCCCAGGGGCCUCUCGGGGGAACGGGGUGACGAGGAGCCUCCUCCGCCCCAGGAGGUGCCGGGGAAUUCCCCCUCAUCCAGGGGGGGAUUGGGGAACACCGCCUCCACCCUGGGGGGCACCGAGGAGCGCCCCCUCCACCCCCGGGGGGUGCCCAGGAACCCCCCUCGCACCUCCGGCGGUGCCCAGGAAGCACCUUCACCCCAGGGAGUGACGAGAGGCCCUCUCAGCACCCCGGGGGUGCAGAGGAGGCGGCUCCCCUCCAACUCCAGGGGGGACCGAGGAGCCCCCCUCUCACCCGGGGGUCCCUCGCAGUGUGUGUGAGUCUCGUCCCGCGGGCGGGCCGGGCCCGGUGCCCUCUCAGAGGCCGUUGGCCCGUCCCGCCGCCCCCCCACCCCUUCGGCGGCGUGUCCCCCCCCAGUCCCGCUGCCGGGGGCCGCACCUGGAUGACCUCGUUGACCUCGCGGAUGCACUCCACCAUGUGCUGCAGGAUCUGCUCGGCCGUCAGCACCUCGUAGCGAUAAUCCUCCUCCUGCUCGGGGCCGCCGCCGGGGCCCGGCCCGCCGCCCAGGCCGCCACCGCCGCCGCCGCCGCCGGGGCCCAGCCCGCCAGUCUCGCCGCCCAACAGCCCGUCGCGCUCCCCGCCGACGCGCAGCCCGGGCUCCACCAGCUCCACCUCGCCCAGGUCCAGGUUAUCGUCGGGCUCGUCCUCCUCCUCGUCCUCCUCGUCCUCCUCCGCGCCGCUGUCCUCACUACACUCCUCGUCCUCGUCGAACUCGUAGUUGUACCCCUCGUCUGAGUCCAUGGCGAGGCGCUGAGGGAGCGGCGGCGGCUCCCGCGGCCUCCCCGCGCCCGGCCCCGCCGCCGCCGCCGUUGGCCCCGGCCCGGCCCGGCCCCGCCGCGCCUCAACCGCCGCCAACAAAGGGCCGCGGCCGCCGCGCUCCGUCACCGCGCGCCCCGCGCGUCACCGCCGCCCGCCCGCGCCUGCGCGCCUGCCGCCAUCUCACCCCGCCCGCCGCCGCCGCCAUCUUGGGGGCGCGACACGCCCCCUCCGCGCCCCCCGCCCGCCUCAGCCCGCUGCCGCCAUGUUGAGUGUGGCGCGGCGCCAUGCUGGGUGCGGCGGGGAGGCACAGAGUCACAGCAUCGCAUCCUGAGGUGUCCUGUGGGGCCAAGUGUGGAAAAGGCUCCUGGGGCCACCAUAAAAUUGAGUGAUAUGAGGGGGAAGAACAUGCACAAGUGUCUUCAUCACCAGACCAGGGACUAACUUUUUUCCCUCCUGGCACUGACAAGUGCUCCAGACGGGUCAGGGAUGCAGGGCCAGUACUGUUCCCGGGUGGUCUCAUCCCUGCCAGAGCCUCUGACUUGGACAUGGAGCUGCUGACGAAGGGCAGGAUGACACCAGUGUGCUGCAGAGGCUGAGCCCUUUGCCUCAGCUUUCCCUGCUUCCAGCAUCAGCCGCGCUCAGCCUGGUACGUGGGAGGCUCGCCGGGCUCAUUGUCUGCAGCCAUUUGGGGAGUGCAUGGAACUCCGGUUGGCUUGGAAACAAGGCUGCAGCCCGGCCCAGAGCAGAGCCAGCUGCUACCAGCCCUCCACGGAUGUUCACUGUGGAUACCAGAGGCCAGCACAGCGCCAGGAGGGCUCCAGGGCCACCUUCUCCCGCCAGUGCUCACCCUCCACUUCCUCAAGCCCCAGGGAAUCAUUUCUUCCCGGGGUGAAGUGGGGCCGUUCAGAUGUGGUGACAUUAUUCACCUGAUCUGCCCGGAUGAAGAUGAGACUCAGCGGGGCUCUAUGUGGUGUAGGCGUGACAAAUUUCAUCAGCUAUUUGGGACAAGAGUCAUCACAGAGGACCAGAUGACAGAAUCCUACUUCCUGCUCCUGUCUUGAUACAAAUCCCUUGUGAAACAGGAAGAAAAUUAGAAGCCACAUCCCAAAGAAUGUUUAUUUCCUGCUGGAGCACAGGAAGCAUAAUGAUGGCUGCAGCAACAGGGAUUUGUGAUCAGGGUGAUGCAGGCAGGUUCUCUUGGGAGAUGAAGUGUCCAAUGUCCUGGGUAGAUGACUCCAGAAACCUCACCAGGUACCAGGCUGCAUCUUCAGACACACAAAGAGAUCCGAAUGUUUGCGUGGAUCUGUGGUCCCUGAGCUCUGCCUGGGUCAGGAGCACACAGGGACAUGUUGCCUCAUGCCACACUACCUAGUCAAUAAAGCCAGUUCCCUAAUUA
Pseudopipra pipra is the source of this 9647-nucleotide long non-coding RNA. RefSeq lists it as uncharacterized. Lineage: Eukaryota; Metazoa; Chordata; Aves; Passeriformes; Pipridae. The transcript has 4 exons. The record is from RefSeq and is a predicted model, not a curated record.